GGGGAUUUAGCUCAGUGGUAGAGCGCUUGCCUAGCAAGCGCUCUAGGCCCUGGGUUCGGUCCCCAGCUCCG
RNAcentral lists this transfer RNA (71 nucleotides) under Rattus norvegicus (Norway rat). It matches the Rfam family "tRNA". From Rfam's summary of the family: Transfer RNA (tRNA) molecules are approximately 80 nucleotides in length. Their secondary structure includes four short double-helical elements and three loops (D, anti-codon, and T loops). The record is from Rfam by way of RNAcentral. Lineage: Eukaryota; Metazoa; Chordata; Mammalia; Rodentia; Muridae.